Molecule: long non-coding RNA, 1251 nt
Organism: Pipistrellus kuhlii (Kuhl's pipistrelle)
Lineage: Eukaryota; Metazoa; Chordata; Mammalia; Chiroptera; Vespertilionidae
Exons: 2
Source: RefSeq, a predicted model, not a curated record
AUUUAGCAUAACCUGGUUCCGACAACAACCCUUGUUUCCCAGGUAAAAGGGUAGAAGGAAGUCAUUGUGAUAUGGUGGAAAGAGUCCUAGAGGGAAAGAAAAGAAUAUUUAGUUCUAAGCCUAUCUUAGAUAAGUCAUCUCCACCCUCUGGGUCUUGGCUUUUGAGUGAGGUUCUGUAAUAAUGAUCUGGAAGGUUCUUUCCCAGCCUCUGUAGUCUAACAGAUGCUAUCAGCUGUUUGUUUUUCUGUAUGUUUCUGAAAAUUAUUUUCUUAAAAUGUGCCCUUUUUGUCUCAUUUUAGAAUAGAAAUUAAACCCUAGUAGGGAUUCUUAAAGCCAAGAAGAUCAUGGAAAAAAUUUAAGGUAGGGAGGCUUAAAAUUUAGUCAAAUUCUUGAAACUGAAAAUUUGAGAGCUACUGAGGAAAGAUCACAUAAAAAUGCAGGCAUUUGGAAAUUCUCAGGAUGUGAUAAAUGAGUCGCCCUUAAUGUCUGUCCCAAUUGGAGGAGCAGUUUAGUUAACUUAGCAGUGCAUACUAUACAGACUCAGUAAAUACAUAGCUGUUAACUGAUUAACUUCAAUGACUAAGCAAGGAACUAGCUGAUUAGCACGGAUUCCAGCUCCAAUACCCUAUAAGGCACUUCACACCCGGAGGACACUGUGGAGCCACGGAGCCAGCUACAGUAGGAUGCAUAAUGGUCAAAAGCAUAUGCUGAGGAGUCAGAUGGACCUGUGUUGGAAUAUCAACUCUGCCACUUACUGUGGGACCUGAGGCAAGUUUCUUAUCUUUCUGAGGCUCUGUAUCUUCAACUGUAAAACAGGGAGAACAACAGCAGGUACUAUACUGAAAUGUGACUCCCCUGGCUUUCUUUUUUUGGAAAAUACCUGUGAUGAGUUCCAUGCAGGGAAAGAAAAGCUGUUGACAGGAAAAGCUUCUGACAGGGAAUGGCCUUCUUCUUCCGAGUGUUCUGAAAGGAGACAGUUGCUUCAAGCAAGAUGAGGCAGGGAGGCCAGGGCCAGGUACAAGAGGCCCCAGAACAUAAAAGGGUCACCUUUAACUAUAGAGAUGACUGAGUGUCCACAGUGUCCUCGGUGAGACCAGCACCAUGCACUGCACACAGACCUGGGCCAGGUGGACAUGCAUCUGAGCCCUUUUCUGUCUCUUACUGUGUAGUCUUGGGCAAAUUGCUUAACCGCCCAGAACAUGAGUUUUCUCAAGCUGUUGUGCAAAAUAAAAGAGAUAAUAUGCAUGUAAA